ACUUUUCGGCCGCAACCCCCCAACAACACAGGGACGUUCACAAAGGUGGGAGAGUCGAGCCGAAGCUCGAAAACUCGGUAAUUAUCCUUCCGUAGGUGAACCUGCGGAAGGAUCAUUACCGAGUUUUCGAGCUUCGGCUCGACUCUCCCACCCUUUGUGAACGUACCUCUGUUGCUUUGGCGGCUUCGGCCGCCAAAGGACCUUCAAACUCCAGUCAGUAAACGCAGACGUCUGAUAAACAAGUUAAUAAACUAAAACUUUCAACAACGGAUCUCUUGGUUCUGGCAUCGAUGAAGAACGCAGCGAAAUGCGAUAAGUAAUGUGAAUUGCAGAAUUCAGUGAAUCAUCGAAUCUUUGAACGCACAUUGCGCCCCUUGGUAUUCCGGGGGGCAUGCCUGUUCGAGCGUCAUUACAACCCUCAAGCUCUGCUUGGAAUUGGGCACCGUCCUCACUGCGGACGCGCCUCAAAGACCUCGGCGGUGGCUGUUCAGCCCUCAAGCGUAGUAGAAUACAGCGGGGUUUGGAAAGGAAGGGGGGGGGGGGGGGAAGAACCAUGGGGGGGGGGGGCAAAAAAAAAAGGGGGGGGGGCAGAUCACUCU
RNAcentral lists this ribosomal RNA (599 nucleotides) under Macrophomina phaseolina. Its description in RNAcentral is "eukaryotic LSU rRNA". The stretch from base 256 to 409 matches the Rfam family "5.8S ribosomal RNA". The record is from RNAcentral. Lineage: Eukaryota; Fungi; Ascomycota; Dothideomycetes; Botryosphaeriales; Botryosphaeriaceae.